This 363-nucleotide ribosomal RNA is filed under the name uncultured eukaryote. Its description in RNAcentral is "partial 18S ribosomal RNA". It matches the Rfam family "Eukaryotic small subunit ribosomal RNA", at positions 592 to 976 of the family's 1831-position model. The record is from RNAcentral.
CAAAAGCGUAUAUUAAAGUUGUUGCAGUUAAAAAGCUCGUAGUUGAACCUUGGGCUUGGUUGGCCGGUCCAUCUUUUUGAUGCGUACUGGACCCAACCGAGCCUUUCCUUCUGGCUAGCCUUUUGGCGAACCAGGACUUUUACUUUGAAAAAAUUAGAGUGUUCAAAGCAGGCCUUUGCUCGAAUAUAUUAGCAUGGAAUAAUAGAAUAGGACGUUAUGGUUCUAUUUUGUUGGUUUCUAGGACCAUCGUAAUGAUUAAUAGGGACGGUCGGGGGUAUCAGUAUUCAGUUGUCAGAGGUGAAAUUCUUGGAUUUACUGAAGACUAACUACUGCGAAAGCAUUUACCAAGGACGUUUNCAUUAA